This 64-nucleotide small RNA is filed under the name unclassified sequences. RNAcentral's name for it is "DUF2815 RNA". It matches the Rfam family "DUF2815 RNA". The record is from Rfam by way of RNAcentral.
ACGGGAAGACGAACCAACCCGUACUUAAGUUUGGUUCUUACGUUAAUAAAGGAAAUACAAAAUG